UACGUAGGGUGCAAGCGUUAAUCGGAAUUACUGGGCGUAAAGCGUGCGCAGGCGGUUGUGCAAGACAGUUGUGAAAUCCCCGGGCUUAACCUGGGAAUUGCAUUUGUGACUGUACGGCUAGAGUGUGUCAGAGGGGGGUAGAAUUCCACGUGUAGCAGUGAAAUGCGUAGAGAUGUGGAGGAAUACCGAUGGCGAAGGCAGCCCCCUGGGAUAACACUGACGCUCAUGCACGAAAGCGUGGGGAGCAAACAGG
Molecule: ribosomal RNA, 253 nt
Filed under: uncultured bacterium
Lineage: Bacteria
Description: partial 16S ribosomal RNA
Rfam family: Bacterial small subunit ribosomal RNA
Source: RNAcentral